CGGGGUGUAGCUCAGUUUGGUUAGAGCGCUUGGUUAGGGACCAAGAGGUCGCAAGUUCGAAUCCUGUCACUCCGA
RNAcentral lists this transfer RNA (75 nucleotides) under Oribacterium sp. KHPX15. It matches the Rfam family "tRNA". From Rfam's summary of the family: Transfer RNA (tRNA) molecules are approximately 80 nucleotides in length. Their secondary structure includes four short double-helical elements and three loops (D, anti-codon, and T loops). Further hydrogen bonds mediate the characteristic L-shaped molecular structure. tRNAs have two regions of fundamental functional importance: the anti-codon, which is responsible for specific mRNA codon recognition, and the 3' end, to which the tRNAs corresponding amino acid is attached (by aminoacyl-tRNA synthetases). tRNAs cope with the degeneracy of the genetic code in two manners: having more than one tRNA (with a specific anti-codon) for a particular amino acid; and 'wobble' base-pairing, i.e. permitting non-standard base-pairing at the 3rd anti-codon position. RNAcentral also lists the same sequence under 2 other names. Lineage: Bacteria; Bacillati; Bacillota; Clostridia; Lachnospirales; Lachnospiraceae. The record is from Rfam by way of RNAcentral.